CUCCCAGCUUCAAGCGAUCCUCCCACCUCAGCUUCCCGAGUAACUGGGACUACAGAUGAAGAUGCUGAGGAACAGGGAGGUCGAGUAGCCCAAGAUCACACAGCUGAUAAAAGGCUGCCCUAAUGUGUGAGACCCACAGUAGACAGUCAGCUGGAGGCCAUCUUGCUCCAGCACCAGGAGAAGGGGUUGGACAAACCCCUAGAACCCCACCAUGGUUGCCAGUUGCCUGUAGUGUUGUUCUUCUCACAGAUACUAAUGGCUGCAGAAGUGCUUGUAGGUCAUGCACAGCUGGCACUCACUCUGUCCUGCCACCCUGAGAAGAAGGUGCCUGCUUCCCCUUUGCGUUCC
Rhinopithecus roxellana (golden snub-nosed monkey) is the source of this 348-nucleotide long non-coding RNA. RefSeq lists it as uncharacterized. Lineage: Eukaryota; Metazoa; Chordata; Mammalia; Primates; Cercopithecidae. The transcript is spliced from 3 exons. The record is from RefSeq and is a predicted model, not a curated record.